GACGAACGCUGGCGGCGUGCUUAACACAUGCAAGUCGAACGGAAAGGCCUGCUUUCCCUUGUGGAUUGCGGGUACUCGAGUGGCGAACGGGUGAGUAACACGUGAGUGAUCUGCCCCCAACUUGGGUAUAAGCCUGGGAAACUGGGUCUAAUUCCCGAUAGGACUGCAGGGUGGUGCCUGUGGUGGAAAACGAUUUUCUAGUGGUUGGGGAUGAGCUCGCGGCCUAUCAGCUUGUUGGUGGGGUAAUGGCCUACCAAGGCGGCGACGGGUAGCCGGCCUGGGAGGGUGGACGGCCACAUUGGGACUGAGAUACGGCCCAGACUCCGACGGGAGGCAGCAGUGGGGAAUAGUGCACAAUGGGCGGAAGCCUGAUGCAGCGACGCCGCGUGGGGGAUGACGGCCUGCGGGUUGUAAACUCCUUUCGACCGCGAGGAAGCCACCUGGUUGGAAGGGUGGUGACGGUAGUGGUAGAAGAAGCACCGGCUAACUACGU
RNAcentral lists this ribosomal RNA (493 nucleotides) under uncultured bacterium. Its description in RNAcentral is "partial 16S ribosomal RNA". It matches the Rfam family "Bacterial small subunit ribosomal RNA", at positions 28 to 506 of the family's 1533-position model. The record is from RNAcentral.